RNAcentral lists this long non-coding RNA (249 nucleotides) under Malus domestica (apple). RNAcentral describes it as "long non-coding RNA (MDOM_LNC015067)". The record is from RNAcentral. Lineage: Eukaryota; Viridiplantae; Streptophyta; Magnoliopsida; Rosales; Rosaceae.
UACACUUUAGGUAUGAAUCUGAGACGAAAAAAACUUGAUAUACUAAAUGUUGAAAACCACAAAACAUGAGGGUAGUAAACAGUCUUUUACCCUACUUUUUUUUAUAAGGCAAAAGGACAUUGCUCAACUUGUUUUUUUUUUUUUUUUUUUUUUUUUGCGCCAAAACGAUGUCGUUUGGCUUGAGUAUUUAAAAACAAGAAGGGGCUACGCGUAGCGCGGGUUGCGCAGCAGCAGCGAAUCAAGAGGCGG